Molecule: long non-coding RNA, 22748 nt
Filed under: Equus caballus (horse)
Lineage: Eukaryota; Metazoa; Chordata; Mammalia; Perissodactyla; Equidae
Description: lncRNA (ENSECAG00000027765.3)
Rfam family: Maternally expressed 3 conserved region 2 (bases 517-621)
Source: RNAcentral
AGACGGCGGAGAACUGGGAUGGAGCGCGCCUUGGCCCGCUGGCCGUGGCUGCAGCUCCUCGGGAGAACCGGGGCGCCCACGCGAGAAUCUCCCCACCUGGGCCUCUCUUCAGGGAUGACAUCAUCCGUUCGCCUUGUCUUCAAGGACCACCUCUCCAUGCCAAGCUGUUGCCAAGCUGCUUGCGGCUCGUCUCCACCUCAUGAGGACACUAGGAGCACCGAUUCCUGGAUCCCCCCAGCAUACAAAGCAGCCGCUGGCAGAGACCCCCAGGACCAGGACGACGAGGGAUGAAGAGGACCAGGACUGACAAGCCAGCUGUCCCUCUUGGCUAAAGGCUUGAACCAGUGCCCUAGUGAGGGGGCACUGGCUGCUAACCCCUGAUCUUUGCUACGCUUGUGCUUGGUCUCUGUGAAUACUUUCCCAUAAGUCUCUGCUGUGUUAAUGUGCCGGCGACCUGGAGCGCUUCCCUCAGGGUGGCGUCAGUCUUUCUCCACUGACCCUGCUGUUGCCCUUAUGAUGUCCUGAACGGAAAGAUCCCUUUGGGAACUCCUCAGGAGGGGGACCUAGGCCAGAGGCUCCUCUAGCAUCUCACUGGCGAUUCCAAGGCCCAGGGUGGGCUUGUGGAAUGAGCAUGAGCCCUCAUGUCAUGCUACUGAACUGCCAAAGGCAUGCUCCCCUCUUUCGAGAUCCCCCGUCCUUUCUGGGCAAUGGGGAUGAGAAGUGCAACCUCCUAGGGUUGUUGUGAGUAUUAAAUGAGAGAAGGCAGCCUUGGGCAGGGCUGGGCAUAGAGGAUGCGGUCAGCAAAUGUUUGUUGAAAAAAUUUGGCAGGUCAAUCCAUUCCUACCUCUCUCACUUGUCGUACUUGUUCUCCCACAGCACUCCGGACAGCCCCUGUCCCCCAGGCUCUCCUUGCAUCAGGUAGGGGCUCCACCAGAGGGUCCUGGGCUGACCUGAAGGAAUACGAAUUAUGCAUGCGGUCAUUUCCAGAGCACUUUCUAUGUAGAUGAAUGUUCUUUCUAUGUCAUAGGAGUAUGUGUAUGAGGCGGCCUCAUUUACAGAUGAGAAUGAAUUUGUCAUUGAUUUGAGUAAUUUUCAAAAGGUGGGUGGGGAAGAGGACUCAUGAAAGCUGAGUGCCCCUCCCACGGGAUAGGGGUCACCCACGUUGGCAGUGAGGAUGGACGCCGAGGCUGGAGGGAUGUAAGUAUUUUGUCACACUGCUGGCAAGAGAAGAGGUCAUAGUUGGAUCCUGGGUGCCAUUGUAGCCGCCCUGUACCCCCUAGCCCAGAGUUAUAUUAAAAGCCCUUUGACGUCCAGUCAGACAUUUGACAAAGGGACAGUCUCUUUGAAAUCCCAGCUGCCCAGGGUGGUCUUGGGGUCUGGGUGGCCCCAGAGCUGGUACCCUGUGCUGGCUCCACCUCCCAGUAACAGUGUGACCUUAAACAAGUCGCUUAACUUCUCCGAGUCUCAGUUCCUUUCAUGGUCUAAAUGGGGAUUAAAAAAAAAAAAAAAAAAAAACCUCCGCGUUUAUCUACCCCACAGGGCGCUUUUGAAGACCAAAUGAUGUAACUGCUAUGAAAGUGCUUUGUAAAUUGCUGUGGAAAUUGCGAGAUACUUAUCCCCCGGAGGCUGUCCUCCGUCCUUCACAUGCCCAGCCCUCUUCUCCCGCAGUAGUAACAGCCAGCACCCAGUAGGUGCUGUGUGUGUUUGCACUCCAUAAGUAAAUUCCAGAAGAAAUAAAAACGGAAUUAAUUCAACAAACAUUUUCUGGAACCCUGACAAUAUGCCCAGCACACCAGGCCUGGGAUGUGAUACAAAGAUGAUGAAAACAGUCUCUUGGAAGCUAAUUGGGGUCCUCAUUUGACCAGCACUUUCUUUCGUCCCCUUUUAAGCCAACCAGUUUUGUCCGGACAAGACAAAAACAACUCAGGCCGCCUUGCAGAAGCCCAGCUUGGUGUGGACAAUAGCUCCCAGGCAUCUGAAAGGGCCUGAUUGGAUUAUGUGGCAAAUGAAGGUGGAAGGAUGACUUGGAAGGUGACAAAUGAAGUGGGCGGAGAUCUGCUUUGAGUUAAUCCAGGCUAUUAGGAGGCCACCUUUUGUCUUCCAGAGGCUGGCAGGAGCUUUUACCACUGGUUUUUACAUCCUUAAUGUAAGGACGCAUAAUUUAUGGUCAGUGAAAGUCCAGGCCCCGGUGAGAUUGGAGUGGGCUGUAAAAUUGAGCGUCCCGCUACCAGUGAGUAAUUACGGUGCCCGUUUCUGUCUCCUGUGUAGUAUGCAGAGCCCUUUCUGGCAACCGACAAUUCAUUUGAACCUCACAACUCCCUGUCCCGGCCCGGGGCUGGCCUGCACCUUCUAGGGGAACAGAGCCAUCAAGCGGCCUUUCAGAUUGGGGUCCCACCGUACAUGUGUACCCCCAUCGCCUCUCACCUUGUAAAGGAAGGGGUGCCCUCUGCUCUGGUCCCUCCUAUCUCAGCCCUGGACCUCCCACCAUCGGUUAUCCUCUGAAUUCCUAACUUUGCUCUCUCCACAGCCUCCCAGGUCCCUUCUGUCCUCCUUUCUAGCCACUACCGUUUCUCUCUUUCCUUUCGCAGCCAAGCUUCUCGAAAGGCCUGUCUUCACUUGCUGUCUUCCUUCCUCACCUCCAAUUUCCUCUUCAACCCACUGCCUCCUGACUUGCUCUACUCCAUCGAGCGGCUCUCACUAAGGUAAUAACUUUUCUGGAGCUUCACCUUGGCCACGUGUCUGGCUCUUGGACACAGGGACUCAUUCUUUCUCUUACAUAGCUUUUCGGCUCCGGUUCACUUCUGUUGACACACUCCCUGUAGACCUCACGGGGACACCUGCUCCUGGCUUCCCUCAUUUCUUAGUUUUCCCAGAAACUUGCAUAUCCGGAUCUCCUAAUGUCUGGAAGCUGCCUCUUGCCAUCUCGCCCUGGGUUCGAGCCUUGGCUAGCCCACUUAGUGCUGGGGCCUUGAGGUAGGUCAGUUUUCCCAAGCCACCUUUUUCUCAGUUGUAAAAUAGGGUUAAUCGUCUUUACCUGGCAGGUGAGGUGGGCUAUCUUGCAGGUAAGAACCAGAGACGAUUUGAAAGACUUAAAAUAAAGUCAAUCAGGUAUUCAGGAGAAAAUAUAAUUGGAGUCCCCAUUAGAUUUCCUUACAGGUUGAAACCGUUCCCAUGGGGAGGACCAAAGCGAGAAGAAAGAGGUGGAGAGGGGCGGGGGGGGGGGGGGGGAGUGGGAGAGAAAGAAGAAAAGAAUUUACAGAAAAACCCACUAAAGACAAAAAAGUAGGGGGGAGAGGUUUAGAGAAUAUUAAAAUCUACCAAAAAAGACAUCCAGAGAAAGGUUUUCAGUUUCGGCUGAAAGAAAGUAAACAGGAAAAAGGUUUUAAAUUGAUUAUCCCAGUGACAAAUCCCAGGAAGCUUUCAAAUCAAAUUGCCCCAUUUUGGGUUUUUAACUCCUUCUAUCAAGUUUAACCUCUUUACCUCCUGCAUCCUGGUUAGACCCCCCUGCCCCCCCUUUGCUGGUGAUUAAAUCCCCAAGGUGCACAGGAGUCUUUCAAUGAAUGAAUGGCUGACAGAAAGAGCCCACCCCUCCCCCCAGCUGUGUUUUUCAGUUUUAUUCCACUUUCCGCCCUUUUCCCUUAAUGAACACAGGGCUAAUCUUAGGCCCUGUCAAGGAGGAGGCUGCAGACGUUAAUGAGGUAGCCGCUGGAUUCCAAUAUUCGUCUCAUAAGGAGCCUUCUUUGUCUGCAAAGGAAAAACACACUGAUUAUCAUAAUGAGGUGAACUGGCGUCCACAGGGCAGGGCCACUCGCUUCUUCGCCCACACUUCUAAUUUUGGGGCUGGAGCUGAGGUUUCAUUUGCUCCCCCUUUAAGUCUUUGCCUCCAUCCCUGCGAGCAGUCCAUUGAGCGGGGUUGAAAGUUGAAGGCAGCUUUGGGAAGCGGGCUGCAGAUAGGGCUGCUUUGUGGAAAGUUUCUUUGUUCGACCCUAUACCCAGGGCAAGGGCGAGUCACACCUCUUGGGUUCCUUCUCCGAGGGCUGAGGACUGAGAGCACACAUUUCCCCGUCCGGCACGCACCUGACUUGUUCCAGGACCACUGAACAUUCACACUUACUCAAGAUUACCAAAGGUAGAAUGGUGCCAUGUCAUAGGGGUAGAACCGGUGGAAUUAUCACAAAGUCAACACCCAUGGGAUGCUCCACUUAGGUCAAGAAAUGGAUGGAUGUUGGUGCCCCAGAGGGCCACCCCCUGGAAGGGUGUGCUUUAGGGUCCAUGUUUGGCUCCCGAAUGCUGUUAGAGAGGUUCAGAGUCCAGCAGUGUGUUAGGAUCACUCAGCGAACCAAGUGCCAGAGGGAACAUUACAGCUCAGAUCGGGCAUCAGAACCUGUAGACGCUCCUUUCACGCCCCAACGUCGCCCUCUCCCAUGUGUCCUGCAGCCCGCCUGAAUCCCCCUUCUGUCCUGACCCUUGAGCUCCCCAGAGCCCAUUCUUGUCUCUAGAGCAGGUGUGCCUCAAGUCUGCCCUUAUGUGUCCCGAAUUGUGGACAUUUCUCACCCCAAGGCAGAUCAAUCAAGAUCAGAUCACUCCAAUUAAACUUUAAUUCCAGCUUUAGCCAGACUUUCAGCCAAGUGGAAGAAAACUAAGGGAGAAGCGAGGUGGUUGGAGCCAGAAAAUUUUAUUAGUAGAAAACUUCCUCCCUUAACUUAUCUCUUGGCUAAAGGUUCCCUGGCAUCAUGGGUCAGAAUUAGACAUGUUUUCCAAGUUAGCAAAACCAACUCUUGUCCAACAUCCCCAAAAAAUCUCGAAGGAUGUCUAGGUGGCUGGGUGGGGUGAUUCCACCCCUUUGGGUGGAGGUGACCCAGAGGUCGCCCGGAUUAGGAACCAGGAUGAGGUUGAGCACCUCUGAAAAUGGUGAUCCCACAGAAACCUACCCCACUACCCCACGCAGUCAUUGAAGAGUGAAAGAAGAGCAGUUCUGGGGGUUGCUAAGUGAGGACUUUUAAAUAGGAACAAAAUCACAGGACCCUUCCCACCCUCAAACACCACUGAUAAUUAAAAGAUGAGCCCCAAAGCCAUUAAUAUGCCAGCAUUUGAGAACCUGGGGAGGGGGUGGAAGGCAUGAGUCGGCCAGGAUCUUCAGGGUGUGCUUACUCCCAGGACCCUAACAGCGCCUGCCACAUGGUGAAACUCCCAGCCGGACUCCUGCUUGGGUUUCUGGAAAGCAGGCAGUCGUCUUAAACUUUCCUGAGGCCACCAGCAGAGAAUCUGAGCUGAUUGCCUCCUUGAGUGGGGGGGUUGCCCCUUUUAACUUGCCUUCUUGGUUCUGUGGCACCCCUUUCAUGCCUGGGAUGGACGCGGCUCUCAGCUGCCUGUGGACUCAGGACCCCUGCACCACAUCUCCAGCCCACUGUAGGCUUCCCGUGUUGGUCACCUGACCCCUGGAGCCCACUGGUCUCAAGAUCCGUCAUUAAGUCAGUCCUGGAGGCUCAGGAGAUGUGGGAGGAGGCAGCUUAAGCAGAUGGGAAACCAGAGGAGUGAGGCCAGGAGAUGCCCCCAAUUCUGAGUUUCUGUUUUUCUGCUUUUCCUGCCUCCGUUUCUGUUCUCCAUCUCCCCUUCGUCUCCCCUGCUUCUCCAUCAUGUCCUAACCCCAUCCUCUGGGGGUACCCUAGGCCAGCCCACACCUCCUUGGGGUGUCCCAGUACCAGCUUGGCAAAAAAGUGGGGCUCAGUAAGAGUAUGUGGGAUGUCUGUUUGGACAGGUGAGUCAAUGAAGGAACUCGGCCACCACACCUGAGCUGCUAGACGGGAGGCAUCGGGGUGCAAGGAGUUUGAGGUCAAAAGGGUGGAGGGGCCGUUUGCUUUGACUGCGGAAUGGGUGUCGCCCCAUCCUCAGCCCCGUUUGAGUGGGGUCUUGCUGGUCUCACGCCUUCAUUCACUCAUGCGUUCAUCCCGUCAUUCAACAGUUGAUCCUUACUCAGCAAGCCCACAGCCCGGCACGGGCUGGGCACCCGCCACGCUAGCGCGUCCCUUGAUGGCCUCUGCCACCCCUGGGAGGGCAGGCCGGGGGGUUGCUUCUGCCACAGGCGGCCUCACGGCUGUCCCAGGCGCUGGAGCGGUGGAUUCCCCGCUCUGUAGUAGGCAUGCAGGACGGUGCGAGGGGCGGGCCUGGCUGGACUUCCUUUGGAACCUUUAAUUCAAACCCCAGAGGAACCUCAGACUGCCUGUGCUUGCCGCUGGUCCGAGCCAGCCCCGCCUGCUCUCUCUGCCUCCCGCACUCCAUCCUGUCGCUGAGUGCUGAUGACUGUCCUGGACCCCUGGCCCUGAACUCAGGACCAAGGUGGGAAUAUAGGACAGUGUGGUGUGUGUCCUUUCGGGCUCUGGCCACAAAGGUCUCCCUCUUGAGUUGAGGUGUGUGAUUUGGACCCCUCCCUCCAAGAUGCCUUCCUUCACUGGGGCUAAAACCAGCUCCUUUGCCCCCCAGGCAUUGGCUGGGGCCUGUCUCAUGCAAAGGACAGAUGGCUAGGACCCUCGGGGGAGCUCUGCAGGCUCCGCUUCUGCCGGCUGCCCACCUGCUCUGUUCUGCUCUGCCUGGCGGCCCCUCCCCUGGCUCUCCACCGGUCAGGUGGACUGCCCACCUGAGGCUGCUUGCCAUAGUCUGUUGCUCAGCCUGGCCCACUUCCCCCUCCUCUGUGCCGAGUCACCUGGCUCAUGCCCUGGGCUCCGCUGUCUCGCCCUCUGCCUAACGGGUUGCUUUUCCUUGCUGAGCCCACGUCUGUGGUUACCUGGCCUGCCUGCUGCCUUGCCACCUCCCGCCUGCUGGCCUUUUGCCCUGCUAUGGGUCCAAAUGCCCCUCCCCUUCAGUGCUGCCCGGGGUUCCAGUGGGUCCCCAGUGUCCAUGGGACAAGCUCUUGCUGUCAGGCCACCUCCCCCAGCCAUCCUCAAAUGCUUCCAGCCGUGGGACUGACUUCCUAGGGUCUAAGUGACCGUGGGAUGCAGCGAGACCUGUCCUGUCCCCUCCCUCCGUCCAGAUCCCUUGUCGUCAUGUCCUAACAGGAGUCACCCAUGGCCUGCCCGUAUUGCCGCCCUGUCCCUGUGAGUCCUGGGCUGUGCCCUGCCCCAGGGCUCAUGGGGGCUGCCACCUGGGCCUGUUGCAUCCCUUGCCCAUGGCCCGUCCCCACGAGCCACCUCCCUCCACUGACAACCACACCACAGGUCGGCCCCGUCCUUGGGACAUGGGCUGCAACUUGGUCGGGUUGGCUGAAGAACUGGACGGAAGGGAUGGAAGAACCCCCGGAGGACCCCCACCCUGGACCACGUCCUUCCUGAUGGCCGCCUGGCGCCUCACGCCCACCCUGUGCCCGUCGCCACCUCCUGGUUUGGGCCGAAGCCGUCGUUCGGAAUCCUCCGUGGGAAGGGACCUCGGACGCGUGAUCCCAGCACUGUCCAGCUUUCCAAUCGGCAGACUAGGAUGGAAGUGCCCUUGUGAGCUGGGGGGCCCUUCAAAGGGCCAAGGAAAAGCGCGGGCCGAGGGACCAGCCUCUCAAAUGGGCUUCGAGCUCCAAUGACCUUCGCUCACCCCCUUGAAAUGUCUGGAAAACAGAAUGGGCAGAUUUUCUGUCUUCAAAGUUUCCGGCUAAACCUCUUCAAGUUCUUUAUUGUUUGGGACUGAGACACUCAGCAAUGGUAAUGGGUCGUUUCUUUUGUAUUUGCCUUGAAAGGCCAAAAUAUUUUUAUAUUGCUACAGACAAAGCCGUCUAUUUAAAAAUGAACUCCAUGUCCGUCGUUUCCCACCGGGGAGACCGUGUACAACGUGUGUGUCUCUGUGUACUCAAGGGUCUUGAAACAGGUUUCUCAUGGGAUGGCCACUCACGGGGGUCCAGGGGGGAAGCGCCUGCCCUGCCCUGGGGUCUGGGGAAUCUGGCCCUAAUGGCAGGUCUGCCCUGCUUUGUCUAGGAUGGGAGCCCCGGGAGGGUCUGGCUGCCCGAACAUUUACUCUGCCUGUGCCUGCAUCUGUCACGUGUAUGUGUUUAAAGACUGUGGGUUGUGCACACCUUGGUGGUUAACGCAGUGAGAGGAAGCAGGAGGGUCUAAGCUAUUGUGAAUGUUCUAUUUUUCUUGGCAGGAGGUCAUUUUGCUGGUAUCUGUUGCACGGUUCACAUAGUGAAUGAAUGAAUGAAUGAAUGAAAGCAUGGAGGAAUGGAUAAAUAAAUAGGUAAAGAAGUAAGCAAGCACGGAUGAGAGUGUACACUGAACAGGAGCCAAUUUGGUAUAUAGGAGAUCAACAUAUAAAUCAAUAAAAUAUGGAAUCAGUAUGUAAAUAGGGCCACACAGGAAGCAAUAUCAGAUCAUCAUGGACCAAGGAACGUGUUAUUCAAGUAUAUAGCACUUAAAGUUUGUCAAUAAAAGAAUAAAACCUAAGUAAAAGAAAGAAUAAGAAGUAUGCCUAAACCCAUGGUGACGAUAGUGUACUGUAUACUUAGUCUGCUAAGAGGGCAGAUCUUAUGUUAGCAGAUCUUAUGUUAAGAUCUAUGUUAAGUGAUCCUAUCAUAAAAGAUGGUGAUGAUAAUAAGAGAAGAGAGGGGGAGAAACUUGUGGAGGCGAUGGAUGAGUUUGUGACGUGGAUUGUGGUGACGGUUUCACAGUGUAAACUUACAUUCAGACUCAUCAAGUUGUCUGCAUUAAUUAUGUACAGCUUUUUGUGUGUCAAAAAAGUGAAAAUUAAAAAAAUAAAGAGGAAGUAACUGUGAAAAAUCCACAAACCAAUGGUGAGGAUGAGAUUAAAAGGCACACUGAAAUGAAAAGAUGCCAGAGAGAGGGGACGAGUGACUGAAAGGGGGAGGCAAGAAGCAAAACCAUAAAUAGAAAGAAGAAAGAUGACUCUCUUAAGAUUUCUUUUAAAAAUUUUUCCUUUUUCUCUCAAAGCCCCCCGGUACAUAGUUGUAUAUUUUUUUUAGUUGUGGGUCCUUCUAGUUGUGGCACGUGGGAUGCUGCCCCAGCAUGGCUUGAUGAGUGGUGCCAUGUCCGCGCCCAGGAUUCGAACCGGUGAAACCCUGGGCCGCCGAAACAGAGCGUGUGAACCCAACCACUCAGCCACGGGGCCAGCCCAAAGAUGACUUUUUUAAAAUUAGGAGAUAAGUAAAUAUAUAAGGAAGGCCAUGCUGGAUCAUUACCAGCUAAGCAUUAGGACUGACCCAAACACGUGCUCCUGGCAUAGAAAAAUAAACACAGAAAAAAUUCAAAGGAGGUAAAAACGAAAGAGGACCAGGGGACCAAAGAUGAGAGUUAACUUUAACCAAAAGUUUUCUAACUCUGGGCACACGUUAAUAAAUAAAUACUGAAAUGAAAGAAAGCCAAAAAAAAAAAAAAAAUAAAAGGGAUGGGUGAGCGAGCAGUGGAAAUACCUGGACCUAGAUGGGAGCACGCCAUGAGCUGAAGUCUGUUACGUGAAAGGAUGAAAGAAAGAGAAUAAAAUAUCUAAAUAAAAAUUGAGAAAUAUGGGAGAAACAGUAACAAAGGUUGUCUAGAAAUACAUUCAUGAGUGAAUAAAUAAAUACAUAAAAGGAAGUGACGGUAGCAGUGGUGGUAAAAGACUGUCAUGGGUCAAGGAUAUGGUUAGUCCAAUUCUCAAAAUCACAGAACUAUCAAUAAAUAAUAAGUAUCUAAAUAAACACAUAAUGAGAAUCUAAAGUGACAAAGCCAGGAUGAGUAACGGGGAGGAGCCUGGCCCGCAGGCGCUCCUGAUGAGCAUGCUGGGAGGCUUGUAAUUAAUCCCAUCUGGGCACCGAAGCUCCAGGAGAAUGAAGGAAGCACUGAGAAAGGAGGAGAUGUGGAAAGCUGUAACAAAAGAGAGAAAGGAAUGAUAAAAAGGGGGUGAGGACUGAAUGGAUAGAUGGGUGGUUCUGCGGGGAGGGUGAGGCUAGGACUGCUCGUAAGGGACCCUCACAAACUGGGUCGUAACUGGUCAAAAUCUGAGCACCCAGUUCCAUUAAUAGAGGAGUAGAUACCUAAUUAGAAGAAAGAAAACAGGCAGGAAGAAUAGUAGGAAGGAAGGAAGGAAUGAAUGAGUAAAAAGAGUUGCAUUGACUGACGAGGAGGGUGUUGCAGAUGGGGUCAGGGUUCAUCAGAUCCCGGGUGCCUGACCUCCAAAAGAAUGAAAGCCAGAAAGAAAGAAAGAAAGGUUGAAAGACUGGUAGGAAAAAACAAUUAAGAUGGGGAAAGACUCAAAAUAAAAAAAGAGAAAUAAAAAAGACAAUAAAUAAUAGGUCAGACAAGUGUAUGAGAGGGGACUGGUUUAGCACCGAUAACCCAUAUUCAUUAAAAUCUGUGGCCUUGAAGUUUAUAAAUAAUAAAAACAAUACCAUCAAUAAAAGGCUGAAAGAGUAAAUGCAUGGGUUCCAUGCAAACACAAGAAAAGGAGUUUGAAAUGUUGAAGAAAAGACCGGGAGAAAGAAAGAUGUAGGAAAAGAAAUUAAAAUAGACAUGCAGAAGAAAAGGCCCACACUGGAUAAGUAUUUAAAUAUAAUGAACAAUAUUAUUCAUUACAUGCAAUAAAUAGUAAGAGCUAAGGUUCAUCAGUAAAAAAACCACAUACCUAAAAGAAAGAAUAGAGGAUGGCUGUGUGAAUGAAUGAAUGAGAAACAGUGAUUUUAAUUAAUUCUCUUCUGCACUUGAGGCUUGUAAGAAUAAAAGAAUGCAAAAAAGAGACAGCAAGGAGGGAGGGGACACAGAAAAUGAUGACAAGGUGGACAUAAGCAAUGAAAACAUAUUGAAUGGAUAAAUAAAUACAUGAAUAUACGAGAGAGAGAGAGAGAGAGAGAGCGUGCGUGCUACUAGCAAAAGACGAGAAGGCAUCAUGAGCCAAGAAUUAUGAUGAGCUCAAAACUGGGCUCUUGAGAGAGUUACAUAAAUCCUUAAUCAAUCACCAGUACACGAAAUUAACGAACAAAAGGGGGCCCCGCAUGGACUGGUGUUGAGGAGGCUCCGGCAACCACAGAUUAGGGUUAAUCCAGUUCUGUGCACCUGAGGUCCAUAAAUAAAAGAAUAAAUACUGAAAUAAAAGGGUGACAGAAAGAAUGAAUGGACACAUGAAUGACUGAAUUAGAAAUGGAAAUGCCUGGAACAGCCAGGAGGGGGUGGCUCAUGGGAUUGUCAGUCAUCUCACUCCAGGCACCUGAGGUCCGUGCAUGUGAAGUGCUGCAAGAAAAAAAGCAUCACAGAGUUAGAGAAAGAGAUGAAGAAAGGCAGGCUGAAGCUAAGUGAAAGAGAAAGGGGAAGAAACCCCACCCAAUGAAGAGGUGACCAACCCCGGGCGUGUCUGAGAGCAGGAAUUUAGGGUUGGGAAUGAGGUCGUCGUGAAUUGGAAAGAUGGAUGAGGUCAUCCAGUCCAUGGGCAAGGGCAAAUGGAGAGAAUAAAAAGAAGCAAAAACGGAAAAAGGAAAGAUAACAAACACCCAAAGUGAUGAAUGGGUAGUUAACAGAGGUCUUCUGAACAGCGAUUAUCAUUAGUUGACAUACAUACUCCUGAAAUAGGUGAAUACACCUUUCAAAGAGUAAAUGAAAAACAGAAGAAAUACCCGGCCCGGUAAGACAAGGCUGCAUCUUCCAACACUGUAAUAAAAUAUAUGCAAUUGAGGUCCAUAAAUAAAAGAAUAAAUCCUGAUGUGUAAAAGGUGACUAAACGCAGGGAAGAAAGAUUCUAACUGCAAAUAAAUAACGGGCCAGUGAUGUUUAUUGGGCACGUGGGGUUUUGGCUAAUAUAAUGAUUUCGCAGGAGACUAAAAAGUGAAAGAAUACCCAAAAUAAGAAAGAAAGGACAAAUGAGUGAGUGAAUGAAUGAAUGAGAGAUGGAGCUGCACGGAUGAAGGACGAGGAUGUCGCAUGUGCUAAUCCGGAUUCAUCCUUCUGGGAGCCUGAGAUGUAAGAAUGAGAGAAUGUAAAGAAGAAUGAGAGAAAGGGAGAAAGAUGAAAUCUGGGAAGAAAUAAAAAGAAUACACGAAAGAAUAAAUAGGACUUGUGAAGGGAGAUCUUCAUGAACCAAGGGCUGUGAUUGGUUUAAAGCUGAGCGGAAGUGCGUCAGUAAAGGAGUCAAAUCUAAGCGAAUGAAUGGGUGAGUGACAGGAAGAAAUGGAUGGAUGACUGGAAGGAAGAGAGGGAGAGAAGGAGGAGGGAAGGAGGAAGGAAGAAGGAAGAUAAGAAGGAAGGAAGGAAGGAAGGAAGGAAGGAGGGCUGGAUGAUUGGAAGGAAGAGAGGGAAGCAGGGGUCUUCCUUCCUGUUUUGUGGUCCCUGUGUUCUAGCCAGCUGAAGGAAGUGGGUACCGGAAGGGACGGCUCUUGUCGUCUUGUGUGCUUGUUACACACACAUUACCUGGCAGGGAGAAGCUGGUUUAGGAAGACCCUGGCCUUGGAGCGCCAUUGUCACCUCCUGGCUGUUUGGACCGCAUCACUUGCUCUCUCAUGCUCAGUUUCCCCACCCACAAACCCGGAAUGGCAUCAGCUCCCCGCUUGGACUGGUCAUGGGGCAAGUGGUCUCCUGCCUCUUGGCAGUGCCCUAUCUAUAGCCCUGGACAGGUGGACGAGCUCCGGCCCUGGGCUCUGCAGAAGGUUGCAUGGACAAGGGGUGUUGGGCCAGGUGGGUGUCUUGGCCCCUCCCUGGGCGUGGGUCACCUGCAAGGGAGGCUUUUCCCGCCAGGGGGCAGCAGAGGGCAAGGGAGCAGGAGGCCCUGGGUGGCGGGUGGACCCCGCCCGCUGCGCUAUCCUGGGUGUGGUGCCACUCCCAUCCAGGGGCCUUGCGGGAGGAAGGCCGGCAGGCCAGAAAGUGGCUGGGAGGACCUGAGAAAGAUGACCCAGGAGCCCAGUGACCCAGGCGCCCAGAGGCACAUCACCGGAAACCUUGUUCCUGCAACUUUCUGAAAUGUGCCCGGGCGCCCCCCACCCAGCCGGGUCUUCUACAGGGCGGCCGCCUGCCCUUCACAGCUUGGGGGGCCCGGGGCAGGGGCACCUCAGCCCGGGUUUGCAGAAGUGGUCUCGGGACCCAGCCCCCUUGACAUGGCCUCCCCAGAGCCCGUUUCAAGGCCUCCUGUCUCCUCGCCUGUGUUCCGAUGUACUGUGUAUUUCGGUGGCAGGCGCGUCUGCCCGUGUGUUGAAUUGUCCUCUCUCCUGACCUGCCCUCCCAGGGCUGCGGGCGGGUCUGGGGAGCGUUUGUACUGGCGUUUUGGACCCCACGGACUCCCUGGUUCUUCUGUCCAGUCUCUCUUCUCUGUAGUGGACAGGAUUUGUGCAGUUGUGUGUGGUAUGCCUGUGUUUGUCUGUAAAAACGAGGACCAAAUUUCCACUCAACUUCUGAAUUCCUGUGUGGGACAUUAAAUAAAAAACUGGAUUCUUAGCAAGUGCCCUGAGCAGGAGGAGACAGUUUGGCUGGACCCAGGAUCCGUGGCUGGGAGCACGUGGAGCCGAGGGAAGUUGGGUGGGGGUGGGGCUAACCUCUCUGGUGGGCAGGUGGGAGGUGGGGACACUAUGUGGCCCGGGGGAAGGGGGGGUUGCACUUGGAGUGACGUUGGACCCUGGGUGGGAACAGGGAGUGUCGGGGAGGGUCGAGGGCACAGGCAGCAAGGUGAGGCAGUCGCUCUGGUCCCCACCAGCGAUGCUGAAGGUGCAUGCUGAGGGCGUGAAGUGGGGGCCACAGGCAUCAAAGCUAUAGGUUUGCAGACAGGAUUCGAGGAGGGAGGGAGAGGGCAUCAGGAGUGACUCCCAUGCUUCUAGCGUGGGCCCCGAACCAGAAAACGGCAUUUAGAAGAUGGAGGACACGGAGUUCACGUGUCAGGAGCCGCCCUUCCGUGCCUCCAGCACCACGUGUCUGGGCCAUGUGAGCAAGGUCACAUGGGCCCGAUGUGGUGCUGGGGGCGGCAGGGCUCUGCUCUUCUCUUCUUUUGGAGUCUGGGGGCUUCGCACUCUGCCUUGGCCAGCCGGAAGCCUGGGAGUGUACUUAUUACCCGUGGGGAUGCCUGCUAACACGGGGUCCCUGAAGAGCCCCCCCCCCAACCAUCCCCGGUGUCACUGUGUGGACGAGGGUGGGGGCGGGAGGGGCCUGGGGCAGAAAGAGACUGGGAGGGUGUUUCCUAAGAACCCUCUGUGGUUGGUUACGAGGUCCCCUGGGGCUCAGGGAGACUUAACAUUGGGUAUAUAAUGGAGGGAGGCCCAGCCACAUGUGCCUGGAGGAAAUCUGGAGGAACAGGAGCAAACCAAGGGGGGCCUGCUCCCAACGUUUGAGGGGCUGUCGACGGGUCACAAUGGCUGGAAAUGGGCCAGUGGGAGAAGCUCCAGGGAGACCGACCGGUGCCCUGAUGGGUGGGUGAGUUGGGGUCAGAUGAGUUCUGUGUUCUUGCGAACACCGAGGGUAUGAGGCUGUCCACUCAGGGCUCUCAGAGUCUUUGGCUCUGAAGAGUCUGGGAUCUGACGUUCUAGGGGUCUCCAUUUCUGGGAUGCUGAGAUUCAGGACAGAGUUCCUGAUGGCCGCAGAAGCCAGGGUUAGAAGCCAGGCCCCCCCCAGUCUGGUUCUGCCUGUGCCCCACCCGCGAGGUCUGUGUAGGGGUCUCAGUGCUCCACUCUGCUCAGGGCCUAUCUUAAGUGUGGGUUUCUUUCUUUUAAUUUUUCAAAACAAGGACAAAUUUUGUCUCUUGACUUUGACCUUUGCAUGCACCCCAAGCACAAAUCCUUCCCCUGGUGACACCAGGAGCUACAGAUCUCCUUGGAUUCCCCUUGACUCCAAACUCCCUCCUCUGGAAGGUUGGCCUCUGGACUGACCUUCCAGAGGGUGGAGGACAGAGCCUGGGUCUCUGGGGCCGAUGGGCCAAGGGCCCCCUUGUUUUCUUAAUGUAAAUGGUGUGGAUGGCACGUGCCCUAGAGCAGGAGGUCACCCAUCACCCUGACAUGUCACCCAUCUUUCACCUCUUCAAAUCCUUGUCUGUGGGCACACUGAUUUUUCAGUGGACAUCUAUUUUUUGUGUGUGUGAGCAUCCAUUUCUUGAACCUAAUUGCCAUUCUGCACCACAUGCACUUUUUUGCGUCUUGCCUUUUCCAUUUACUGCUCUGUUGUCAGCGUUUUUCUUUCUUCCAUAGUCAUCAUCUCACUGGCUGCGUUGUGUCCCAUUGAGUGGCUCUGCCAUCAUUUGCAACACCAACCUGCUAUUGUUAUGCAUAACUCAUCUUUUUAAUCUUAUAAAUUAUGCCACAGCUAAUGGCUUAGCACACCCACUUUUUCUCCUUCUUACAAAUUACUUUCCUGCACCCAGAAGUGAUCAUUGCUUCACGGCGUGUCAGUUUCUCCUGCUAGACUGUGAGCCCCUUAAGGGCAAGGAGCCUGUUGAAUUGAUCUUUGUAUCUCUAAUGCCCAACAUGUUGUAGAUGUUAAUAGAUGCUUGCUGGGUGAGUGGAUGGAAGGAUGGAUGAAGAUGUGAGUGGGUCAGUGGUUGGCUGAUGUGUGCGUGGAUGGAAGGAUGGAUGAAGAUGUGAGUGAGUGGGUCACUGGUUGGCUGAUGGAUGAGUGGAUGGAAGGCUGGAAGGAUGGAUGAAUAAAUGGAUUGGUGAAUGAAGGAAUGCAUUAGGGUUGAGCUUCUUGAGUGAAAGGCCAGUGAUUCCUGUAUGAAUAUUGACUAAUUUCAGAAGGCUUUCAGCAUUUUACAAUGUCCAGCAAUGUAUUAGCAUUUUGUUAAGAUAUGGCUAGUUUAUCUCUGUUAAAAAAGUAUUUUUGUGUCAUUUUAACUUGCAUUGCUUUGAUUACUAAUGAAGGUUGAAAUUUCUCACAUAUGUUUGUUAACAAAUUGUAUUCUAUUUUCUGUGAACUGUUUGUCCAAGUCCAUCGGGUCAUGGCUUUCUGAUGAGAGUGGUCAAGGAUGGAAUGGGUUUCCUUGGGAUGUAGUGAGCCCUCCGUCAUUGGAGGCAUUCAAAGAGCAGGCCAGGCAGACACUUGAUGAGGGUAGUUUUAAGGAGAUUCAAAUAGUGGGUGUGGCAUUGGCUCAGACAGCCUUGCUUCUCCCUGGGAAGUGGGUUGGUGGGGAUGACAUCUUCCAUUUGGCAUACCAGUGACAUUUUAAGGUCCCAUCCCUUGGCGGGGCUUGUGUAUUGAUGAUUUAUAAACUCUAACCUCACCCUCUGUAACUCUUGUGGGACAGGAAUAUCUCUUUGGCCUGCCAAGGUCUGGACAGCCGUGCCCAGCGUCUUUUAUAGUUAGCUAGUGGACUUCCCACCAGCCCUGUCACUCCCCACCCCCCCCCGACCCCCGCAUUGCACCUUGAGGAAGCCAGAACCAUGCGCCACCAUUUAUCACCUGUUAGGGCAACCAGGUGAGGCGAUCUGCUGCCCUUUGUGUUCCCGGUAUCCUGUGAUGUGUGAGCAAAUGUCCCCGAGGCCUCCGUGGUGGUCUUUGGGGUCUCAUUGAUUAAUGGGACAUGUUGGAUCAGGACUGAUGCAGAAUCCUCCUUCGGUUUUUUUCAGCUGGGCCAAUUAAAUUCUGCGAUCCCAGGAGCAGAAUGCACCCCAUGCUGUUCUCAGACUUCCCCUCAUGCCCCACUCCAAAGCUGGCAGGGCACGAGGGUCAUCAUGGCCAUUUGGGAGGGUGCAUUACCCAUGGAGGACUAGCCCCUGCUUUCUAGAACACCCUCCUCUCUCAGCAGAGGGCUGCUGCUUGCCGCUGACCCCUCUACUAUAGCACUGAGUGCUGUUUGCCUGCAUCAGAGUUACUCACCCACGUGUUGACCCCAGCAUCGAAGCUUGGGAGGCCAGCAAUGAUGUCCAGCAUUAAUUUAAGCCAUCCAUCCAUCCUUGCCUUUGGCCUCCAUUUCUUGACCUGGUGCGUUUGGCCUCUCCUUUUCCUGAAAGCAAACCCUUCCAUCUUGGGCGGGCUGUGUAGCGCCAUGGGCUGUGGUCAUGAGGCGAACGCCCUUAUUUGUAGCUUUCUCCUCCGGGGUCACUGCUCUGAGCACGUCCCAGCUGGAUCUCAUCUGCCACCGUCACCCACAUAGCUUCCUCCCCAUGGCGCUUUCCCAUGCAUCACGCACCCCAACGGAUCCAGGCCAGGGUCCGAGAGCAACCCCCCCACCCGUGAGCGGAGAUGUCCCCCCAGGCCACCCUGCCUGGUGCAUGGUCCCUGCCAUGAGCUUUGCCUUCGGCCUGUCCGCUUCCUCCACCAGAUGGCAGUGGUUGUAACUCAUCCGUUCACCCCUUCAUCCCUUCAUUCGUUCACUCACAGUCAACAUUUCUCGAAAUCAACUAGUGCUAUCCUAGAGCUGGCUCACAAGGACUCGUUCCGACAUCUCCUUUUCAAAGAAAAGAUGAGCAUGUUUGCAAGCGGCCAUGUUUGUGUGUCAGGAACAAGGCAAGACCCUUGAUUCAACUGCAACUUCUAGAUGCGAAUUCUGUUCCAAGUUUGAUUGCCCUCUCUCACUUUGUUCCUUAGAAAACUAGGUUGAUUAGUAAUCAGCAAACUGUGUUCCUGGGUGCUCAGAAAUCAUAGCCCAUAUCCUCAAGAGGCCAGAAUGAGAGCUGGGAGGUAUGAGAUGACAGCGGAUUCUGGCCGAGAGCAGGCUUUCAAGUCGUUAGAACGCCCUGAUCUUGCUUGGAGGCGGUCUUAGAGCCAUUCCUGUCCCUUUCGAGAUUAGUUAAUGCUGGGCUCUACUUAGAGAAAAUUGGGGGAGAUGAUUGCCCUUGUGGAUGACAAAGAUCAUGCCUGGUGUGGGGGUCUGCACAGAAUAAUCCACUGACAGACCGUGGUGUUCGAGGCGCAUGGCACUUUGUAACCUCUGGAGGCAGCCCUGAGCAUCCAUGUGGGUCCCGGGCCAGGCAGGGCCCUCGUUUAGCUCACUGCUGCCUGCGUGGGACAGGGCGUAGUCUUGGGGGCUCCACAUUUUAUUCAUCACACUGGAGAGUGAGUGUGGUGGAUAAAGUCAGGACCCUGGAGUUGGACAAACGUGUGUGGUUUGAACUUGCGGCGACAGCUUGAGUCUGUCUUGUGGGGGGACCAUAGCACCCACCUCGCAGGGCUGUUGUGAGGAUCAUGUAACCAGGAUUUUGAACUGUGAUGUUGGAAAGGCGGGCGCGUGCCCCUGGGGGAGUGCUGGGGGCAGGAUGAAAGGCCAGGAGGGGCAGCCUGAUUUGGGCAGGUUGGUGGGAAAUCAUUUUGCCAAACGUGCAGGGGGAUCUUGGGGGACAGAAUGCUAAAUUUGUAUGACAGUGUAAGGUUAGAGAGGAGUAAUUUUGGCAUGAACCUUCAUGCUGGGGCAUGAGUUCUCUUUGGGCAGCGCCCCUGGACCCCCUGGGGUACGCGUUCAUGAUCACCUUUGUGAAAGGUUGGAGGCACCUGGGUCUGGCCUGUAGGCAGCACUUAGGCACGUCCCUCCACAAGAGAUACCCCCUAGCAGUGUCUUCCCCCCAAAUCUUAGGCACCAGUCAUCAAAGGCACUGCACAGCCCCUCCCCAACUAACAACAUCGGGGCUCUGAUGCCUGCAGCCUGGGUGCCUGACACAGUCCCAGGCCAGUGGCAGGGCUUGCCUUCCACUUUUGUUGAAUGGAUAGACUUGUGGAUGGUCAAAUAAUGAAACUGUAACCAAAUGCGGCGGUGGAUGUUUAUGAUCUUUACUAAGAGAUUGUAUUUUGCUCCUGAUGAACCUGUUAUCAAUCGUUGUAUUGUAUCUUAUGGACUUUUGUAUGACGUUUGUUGUUUGAAAACCAGGAUUCUUGUUUUGGGUGUCAUGCGGUGCAACUUGAGCUGUCUGAUUAACGAGUCAGUUUUUUGUGUUAGAAAUUAGAAUCCGGCAGACCCUGGGGCCACUUGACUAACUGUGCGGUGUUGGGCAAGUCACUUCUCCUCUCUGACCCUCAGUCUUUUUUUCUCUAAGCUGAAGGUCACCAGAAAGCUCACCUCACAGGGUUGUUGUGAGGGUGACGGGCUGGGUAAACUUUAAAUUGCUAAUGAAAUGCUGGCUCUUAUUGAGAAUGGUCAGAUGUCAGGGGUUGUCUCUAAGAGAAUAAAAAGUCAGCAUGUAAUCUUAUGCUAAGAUUGUAUUUCCAACGGUCACUGGACCGUGUAAGACAGACGCUGAGUGGUCUACAGUGUUUAGCGAUGCGGGCCCAGGGUGAACGCUGGUUUGACUAAUGAGUGAUGGCUCUUUCUCCUGGGAGCCUUCCCUCCCCUCCCUGGGCUGCUGGCUCACAUGUGCAGUUUGAAGCGGCUGGGGUGACUGCCUUGGGUUUGCCGUACCUGUUGGUGCCCUGUCUGCUUGGAGGCGUUUCUGCAAACGUCUGUAGAGGCCCGGGUGUGGUUUGUCGGGGCGGAAGGCGGGGCCGUUGAGAGAGCCUGAGGAGGGGCUUCUGGGUAACACCCCAGGGACUAAAACUCUUUCUUCUGCCCUGUAGGAGGGAGGCCUGCGCCCCUAGUUUCCUCUCACCCCUCUUCCUUCUUUCCCUGGCUGUGGCUGAAGGAAUAGCCUUCUGCCCCGCCCGUGGGCCUGGAACCCAGUGCGAGGCUGAUGACACUCUCCCCCUGGGCUCCCUGCUCCGUGGCGUGGGAGCCCGCGUUAGAGACCUGCAGGCUGAGAAUCAGGGACAGCGGGGGUCAGAGCGGGUGUCAGAGCGGGGACUCAACGGUCUUGCAUGGAAAGCCGGUGUUGUUUCGACCCCACCCAACAAGCCCUCCCAGUUGCUGUUGCCAUCCGUCCCAGGCUGUCCCCGUCCCCACCGUGAGCCUGACAGUGUCAGGAGGGGUCGCACUCCUCCAGAGCUCAGCAGGGUCCGAGGUGAAUGUCGGAAUGUGGCCGCCUUCCGUAAGGUAUUGCCCUGGCUCUGGCAGAAGUCUCGGGAGACAUCCCACAGGGUCAGGUGGAUCGGGGUCUCUUCCCGAGACCCCUGAAGUCCUUUCCUGGCCCUUGUCUUGUGGGUGGGGGAGCAGCAUUCUACCCUAACGUCCCCUCCUUAUGUCUGAGGUGGGGUUGAGCUGGGCAUCUGCUCUGCCCCCUCCUUCCCUCCCUGGCCUCCUCGUUUUGCCUCUGGCUUUCACAGCCUCUGUGGGCAGGCGCUGGGCAUCUCUGUGGCCCACACUCCUGUCUGCCUGCAUCCUGAGUGUCACUGUGAUGAGCGGCCCUCACCCCUUUGCGCCGGCCCUGCCUGCCCCUGGAGCACCAGCACAGCCUCCCUGUUGCUCCCUCCCUUGGGCUUUGCUGAGGAGGCCUUUCGCUGUCCCCUUUGGUAUCUACACUGUGGCCAUCCCAUGUCCUGGGAACUUGUCUGAAGCAGAGGGGGCCUCACUUCGGUGCUCCCGAGGGGCCCCACUGGAGGACAGGUAGUAGGGCCCUCCUCCCAGGGGACGGUGAGUCCAUGUUCAGGUGUCUGCUCCCCGAAGGCCCUGGGCUCCUUGAAGGCCGAGCCUGUGUGUGGCCCGCAGAUGACGGACUCUUUCAGGUGCCCAGUCUUUUCACGUCGGUGUCCCCUUGACAUGGGCAGGGCUGGGUCCCCAUCUCCUGAGGGCGGGUGAGAAAGUGGAGGCUCGGUGAGGUCACGGCUAGGCUGCCCUUGAACCCCAUCGCUACUCUGAGCCCUGUGCCCCUCGGACCUUUUACAGCCCUGCUUCCUGCACAGUAGGCGCCUAAUAGAUGCUCACUGACAGAUGAGGGUGCGUUUUUAGUGGGUGUGCAGAGGUGGAUUGACGGUUGGCUGAGGUAUGCGUGGAGUCCACACAUGUUUCUUUGAGAGGAAAGGUGUGUUUUUCCCAGCAAAGCCUCCUCAGGCCAGUCCUGAGGGCCUCUGCCCAUAGCAGGGCCUCAGCCCAGGGCCGGGGCCGGAGGGCAGCCCCAAGAGGGCCCCUCCUGGCAGAAACAUGGGUCUUCUGCACGUUUUUGGAAAUAUGUAUAUCUGAAUAAAACUUCGCUUGGGCUAAAAUGUUUGUGUUGUGGCCCAAGAGAUUCUGAUAAUGUGGCAUUUGACAUUUCCCAAGGUGGCAUUUGACAUUUCCCAAGUCGGAGGGCCAUCUGGUCACACCCACGCCCUCUCUGAGGCCGGCUGGGGCCUCAGGAGCCCUUGUCCUGGGGAGGGGAGGUCUCCUACCUGAAAAGUCUUUGUCCCCACCGUUCGUGACAAUCAGCACUGAAUGUGAGGCACAGGCCGAGUCUCAGAUGCAGCCAUGGGCACCCAGCAAACUAGGGGAGAUCGGACCCCAGACCUGGGUCCUUUUCAUCCCUUCUUGCCCCCCCCCCCAAAGAACAGUGCGUGGGUGCACGUUGGGGUGGGGCUCUGGAUGUCUCGCCCAUUUGACUUCAGGUCCUGGUGUCACCAUUUGCCAGCCUAGUGGCCUCAGGCAGGUUCCUUGAACCAGCUGAGCCUCGGUAUUCCCGCCUGUAGAAUGGGUGCUGACUGACAGAGUCCACUCAGGGGAUGGUGGUGAGUGCUGACCAUGCCAGCGGCGGCGUGCCUCACGACACCCCAUAGGCUGGCUCCCGAGAAUCAAGGUCUGCGUUCGAGGCCACCCUGCUGCCUCCGUGUGCGUGACCUGGGCGAGUUUGCUCACCUGCAACCUGGAAAUAGUCACAUCUACCUGGCCCAGUUAUAGUGGGAGAUUGUUUCUGUGAGGAUGAGUGCUUUGUUACCUGGUACACAGGUGCCCUUGUCCCUUGCCCUCCCGGCGGGCCCUGGGGCUGGCCACGUGCCCUGCAGCCUGUGGGCGCUGGUCACAGAAGCCCUGUGCUCCCUGGAACUGUGGUGGCCCAAGUGGCUGUUGGGUGGGGUGGAGGGCGUCAGGGGAGCACCCGGGACCAGCUGCGGGGAGACAGCGAGGGAGGGUUUGCUUGUAAAUGCAGACAUUUAACGGGCUUGGAGGGGAGGGGGUUGAGGCCGAAGUGGGGGGACUAGGGGGGAAUUUUAGGAACCCCCAGAGGAGGAGGAGGCUGAUAUUUUAGAAAACACCUGAGUUGACUUGGUUGUGGGUUUGGCAGGCGAGCUGGGGUGCUUUGCACAAGGGCCAGGAGUUUGGGAUUCUGGGUUAGCGAGGUGAGACCCUUCAGAGGUUACUGCUGCAGGAGGGUGUCAGGACUAGGGUUAUGCUUCCAGAAGUCUCUGCAGGUCGGGGAGACCAGGGCAGGGCUGAGGGUGGGACACCAGAGGUUGAGGGGUGCUAGGCGGAUGGGCAGGAGCUGGUGGCUGGGUGCUCCCCUCGCCCCAUGGCUGCUGGGGAGCCGGGGACUUCUCCCCGCAUUGCCCAGCCUCUCGAGUGCCCCGUCUCCUCAGCGGAUGGGCUCUCUCCUCUCCUUGCCCCCGGCCUGCCUGUCUGCAUGAGGACUCUUGUCAGCCAGUGCGACCAGGAGCAGGGGGCCUUCAUGUGCACCUGUGUCUCUCUCAGCCUCCACAGCCACGGGGACGCCCCGCACACGUUCCUGCGGGACAGGCUGGACCCAAAGACUCUGGACCCGGGCCGCCCCCUGCGAGGAGGGGCACACCCUCCCCGCCUCCCCUCCGGUAGCCACCCGUCUUCUGACUGAUGACUUCACUGAUCUGAGGGUCAGACACACGAGUUUGACCCCUGCCUGCCCCUCACGAGCCCUGAGACUUGGGGGAGCCACCGAGCCUUCGUUGUCCGCAUCUGUGAAGUCUCCUCGGACACCUACCUCACAGGGUUGUUGUGAGGAGCAUGUGAUGUGGUUCAGAAGGGCCCAACCUGGGGCCUGGCACACCCGAUUGUGCUCUCAAUAAAUGUGUUUCUUGCCUUAACCAACA